This 165-nucleotide long non-coding RNA is filed under the name Homo sapiens (human). RNAcentral's name for it is "novel transcript, antisense to LIPA". The record is from RNAcentral. Lineage: Eukaryota; Metazoa; Chordata; Mammalia; Primates; Hominidae.
CUACAUGAACUAACCUUCACUUCUCCCCAGGCUCUAGGGGAUGGUAGAGUCACAGGAUGGAAGAACUCUGUGUCCUUGAAUCAUUGCAUGGAAGAGAACUGGAAGUUGCCCAGGAACACCAGCCUUGGACAGUUAUGUGAACAAGAAAUAAACUUCUUUUACAGU